GGACACGAGGCCAGCUUUGAAGAUUUGGGUCUCCAAUGCUGCAACUAGGCACAGAGCCAAACAUCCAAAUGAUAUCCGGAGUAUCACAUGAAAGAGUGACAAUAGGGUUGGCAAUUCCGAACAAUUCUGCCUGAUAACCUACUUACUGCCAGUGCCCAACUACAUCUGAUGCUGCGACUUCUUGGACAAAGCAAAAACUUUCUGCUGACUAACAUCUCCACUUUGCCCCAACCUGCUGGAUGCUCUGGGUGAAAAGGAGGCUUUAAAACCGUUAAAAGCAG
RNAcentral lists this long non-coding RNA (281 nucleotides) under Gallus gallus (chicken). RNAcentral describes it as "long non-coding RNA NONGGAT008582". The record is from RNAcentral. Lineage: Eukaryota; Metazoa; Chordata; Aves; Galliformes; Phasianidae.